UACAAAAAGUUAGUAAGCGGACUAGCCGCGAUAGUGGUUGGAGGUUUGCGAGGUUGACUAAGUGAAAGUCGGGCAAUUACCUUGCUUUCCUCUUGCUAAUAUUGAGCUCGGACAAUGUAUGUACGUAAUAAAAACAAAUUAUAAUAAAUAAAAUUAUUUAAUGAUAUCAUAAAGAAUUUCAUAACCAGUAUGUAAAAUGUGAGUCCUUCCUAUAUCUGGUACUUAAAAUAUUAUACACUCUUUGGUACUGACACCGAGCUACGUUAUUUCUCGAAAAAAUCACAAAUGUGUAAAGUGACGUCAUAACUCAAACGAAGCCGACAAUUUAUCUGAACUGCACUAACAGUGUAAAUUACUUCACAAUGCCAACAUAACAAAUCAACAUUAUACAAUAAAGUUUCGCAUGCAUAGAAUUUCGUUCGGAAAUAACCUAGAAUGCAGAACUUGUAAAAUAACCCAAGACAGUUCUCUGAAUAAAUAACCAAUACGCUGUAAAAACCCGGACAAAAUGCACCACAAUAUGCCAUAAUUUAUGGACAAUAUUAAAUUAAAAUGGACGGUUGACAGAUUUUUCAAGCAGGCGACGCUAGCGGGUGUUCUGUCUACAAAAUUAUACUUUAAAAUCCACCGAAGAUAGCAAGCGGCAACAUACAAAUUUACCUCAUUACCAUAUUUCUUCUCAUUUUGCAAACCCGCUUUUACCAUCUUACUUUUGAGGCGCACCAAAACGUCCAGAGGAUUUCCAUACCUUUUUCUAUAUGAUAAAGUGAUAUGCUCGCCAACGAGCACUGAUCCCAGAUGUUUUAAGCUGCGACGAAAUCCUGGAUCAGGAAGAUCCCGAAGCGAAGACGCUGGGUUAACCGAUGACUAUGUAUGUACUACUUAUCAUAAAGGUGAAGAACAAACAAA
Molecule: long non-coding RNA, 909 nt
Organism: Manduca sexta (tobacco hornworm)
Lineage: Eukaryota; Metazoa; Arthropoda; Insecta; Lepidoptera; Sphingidae
Exons: 2
Source: RefSeq, a predicted model, not a curated record